RNAcentral lists this small RNA (28 nucleotides) under Bombyx mori (domestic silkworm). RNAcentral describes it as "piRNA piR-bmo-1625772". The record is from RNAcentral. Lineage: Eukaryota; Metazoa; Arthropoda; Insecta; Lepidoptera; Bombycidae.
UAACAGUCCUGUGCCGAUGAUGUCGAUA